RNAcentral lists this ribosomal RNA (999 nucleotides) under Triticum aestivum (bread wheat). RNAcentral describes it as "partial small subunit ribosomal RNA". Lineage: Eukaryota; Viridiplantae; Streptophyta; Magnoliopsida; Poales; Poaceae. The record is from RNAcentral.
AUGGACGCGGCGGAGAGGAGGCUAGCUCGCGUCACGGCUCACCUCCUGCCCUCCUCCCUCCCGCUCGCCUCUGCCCCUCUCCUCGCGCCGUCCCCCGCUGCUGGGUCGUCGUCGCCCGCCGGAGAUAGCUACCGGCGCGUACACGGCGAUGUCUCGUCGGAGCCUCCGGAGUGGCGCGCCGCGACGGACGAGGAUGGAAAGGGAUUCGUCGACAUCAUCUACGAGAAGUCCGUCGGAGAGGGCAUCGCCAAGAUCACAAUCAACCGUCCUGAUAGGAGAAACGCAUUCAGACCACUGACUGUCAAAGAGCUGAUGCGUGCCUUCAGCGAUGCUAGAGAUGAUAGUUCGAUUGGAGUUGUCAUACUGACAGGGAAUGGAUCCAAGGCAUUCUGUAGCGGCGGCGACCAAGCCUUGAGGGAUUCUGAUGGGUAUGUUGACUUUGAUAGCUUUGGCCGGCUCAACGUUCUAGACCUCCAGGUACAAAUUAGGCGCCUUCCAAAGCCAGUUAUAGCAAUGGUUGCUGGUUAUGCAGUUGGUGGUGGACAUGUUCUGCACAUGGUGUGUGAUCUAACAAUUGCAGCUGACAACGCGAUAUUUGGGCAGACUGGUCCAAAGGUUGGAAGCUUUGAUGCUGGCUAUGGCUCUUCCAUCAUGUCUCGAUUGGUUGGACCAAAGAAAGCCCGCGAGAUGUGGUUUCUGUCACGGUUCUAUGCCGCUGAAGAAGCAGAGAGAAUGGGACUCGUCAAUGUAGUUGUACCACUUGCUGAUUUGGAACGCGAAACUGUGAAAUGGUGCCGGCAAAUCUUAAGGAACAGUCCCACAGCCAUUCGGGUGUUGAAAUCUGCACUCAAUGCAGCUGAUGAUGGUCAUGCUGGUCUUCAGGAGCUCGGCGGGAAUGCGACAUUGAUCUUCUACGGUACUGAAGAGGCCAAAGAAGGAAAGAAUGCGUACAUGGAACGACGACGCCCUGAUUUCUCAAAGUUCCCCCGGAAACCAUGA